GCACCCUGCAGGAGGAAAACAGACAUGAGCAUGAGGUGUUGACAGAGAGGUGUUCCUGGCUGGAAAGACGCAUUUCGUUUUCGCCAGCAUUAAGCUGCGCUGCGGAAGGGUUGGAGGUGAGCUGGGCCUCAGCAGCACUUCAGCAGCAAGCAAUGAAGUGGAAGGACGUGUGGAUGCAGAAUUGGCCUCCACAGUCACUUACGGACUCACUGUUAAAACCGCGUUUAUGGAAGACAAUCUUACUUGGCUACAAGUGAUCGCCAAAGAAGAAAGAAGACCCCAGGCAGGCUGGGAAAUAAGAACAUGGUGGGCUUGCUUGAAGGAGAAGAGCUGUUGAAUGUCCUGACUCCACUUUACGUUGGCAUGGAAGCUUCUGGCAGAAUGCACCUCAUUCCCCACUGCCCAGGGGCCUAACAGGAAAGCGUAUGGGCCAGAUCGCAUUUGCAAAUCUGCCAGAUCUCUUGCAAUUCACUCACCUUGGCUCCAGGGAGACCAGGCUCACCGGGGCGUCCAGCUUCGCCAGUAUUUCCUUUGGGGCCAGCAGGGCCGGGAGAGCCACGCUCGCCAGGUGGGCCCUGGAAGAGGAAAAGCGGUCAAGUUAUCCCAUUAAGCACUGCAGAAGAAAGCGACAACGUGAGACUACAACCUACCUUGGGACCAGCCAUGCCAUCAGAUCCAGGGAAACCACGGCUUCCGGGAGCACCCUGCGAACGGUAAGGAGGAGAACAGGUUAAUGCCAUAUACACAGCACUGGGCUCUUCCAUCAAAGAGGACAGGAAAAAUAAACACCGAUUGGCCAGGAGGACCCAAAAUACAAAUCCCACAAGACAGAAUCACAUGCAGACCAAAGAAAGUAAAUUCAGAUUCUGGAUAAUCUCGAGAAUAUCAGAAUCCUAGUUUAGGGCCCAGGCUGAAGACAGGACCCCACACCUGCCAGCCUCACAUGCUCAAAGCAGCACACACAACCCACAAAUAGAGAUCAGGCACUGAAAAGGUGUGCAAAGAGUUGCAGGUAACUCAAGAGCGAAAGUACCAGAUGGCAUAUUAUAAGAGGGAGCAAAGAAACAAAAGUAAACAAGAAGACAAGGGAAACUGUCUAGGGGAGAAGGAAGUUUGGAUUUGAUCAAAUGUUUGAUGUUCGAAACACAGCUGAUGACCUGGCUAUAUUGCAGUGGUCUUUUGACCUCAAAGGUCUCAGUUUUUUGUUUUUUAUUUCUCUGUAUGAAAUCAAUUCUCGUGGGACUACCCUGGGAUUUCAACUCGAGAACAGAAAAGAAUGACAGUGUUUCUUUUUCUAAAUUCUAAAUCCAUGGAUGAUUCUUAAGGGAGUGAUCUGUUAAGUGAAAAGGACAGCCAUGUUCUGCCCACUUCCGGUGCCUAGACAGUGCGUCCUCGUGGGUUUAAAACACUCCACGAGCAGAGACCACAUUGUACCAAUUGGGCUCACAUCUUAGACACCUUAAGAGGCAGCUCCUAAUAAAUGGCAAAGGUAUCUGCAGAUUCAGUUUUCUUUGAAGUGUUGCAGCGCACUCUAUUUUUGCAACAACUUUUCCCUGCAGAAUAGCUCUCCUCUGACUCACAGAGGCUUCUCGAGGCUUCCUUUCCAGACUGCUUUGGUUUCAUUUGUAACUUGACCUAGCAAUUCCUAACUAAUCUAAUAAUGUACCGUGAGUAUGUUAGACGAAUACAUGGCCCGCGCACAAAUUAGUCUGGCGGCUAAGAGAGUGUGAUCUUGCUGCCCACAGUUAAGGAGAGACUAGUUUUGGUUCGGGAGGGCAGUGAUAUGGAGAACCAAGUUGGUACAUACACGUUCACCAGCAGGUCCAGGCAAGCCAGCAGGUCCAGGCUCACCACGAGAUCCUCUCUUGCCUUCCUCACCAGGUGGACCAGGGGGGCCUUGGAGACCAGCGGGGCCCUGGAAGAUAAAAUGAAGGAGAGGCAGGUGUUAACAAAAGCGAAAAUGAAACAAGAAAGCGUGUUGCGGUGGGGGCUAACAGGACACCCACCCUUCUGUUGGGUGGGAUUGCCUAGAUGAUCAGGGCUGCGAUUCUAGUAGUGGGGAAGAUUUGGAUGUUGCAAUUUGGGGGACAGCCCACUGGCCUUAUAUUCCUGCUCGCAGCAUUGGGCUUUCUCUUUGCUGCGAGCUUCGGAUCACCCGCCCACCCUCCUCUUUAUUUAGGCUGUUGUGUUUGAUCUUGCUGUGCCUGUCAUGGGGUCGUCUGCUGUUGAGUAGGAAUUUUCCCAUUUGGCUGAUUGGCUGGUGCCACUUGGUUUUUUCCUACUGCGUAGCAAUUCGUCACAACUUGUAAGGCAUUGGUUCAUAAAUUGGUUGGUGGAGGGAUCACGAUUGGUAGUCCCGGUCCCUCCUAUGUUGUUGGUUGGUGGAGGGGCCAGAAUUGGUUGUUGGUUGUGCAGGCCCCUCCAAUGCUGCUGCUACACGGGUGAAUUCCGUUAAAGGAAUCCAGGGGCCUGACAUGCUUUAGUCCGUACCCCAGCAGGCUUCCCCAAACUGCGGCGCUCCAGAUGUUUUGGCCUACAACUCCCAUGAUCCCUAGCUCACAGGACCAGUGGCCAGGGAUGAUGGAAAUUGUAGUCCAAAACAUCUGAAGUUUGGGGGUGCCUGGGCUAGGGCCAUGCAAGAGCCCCUGGGAACAUUUGGCGGAGAGGCAAAGGGCCAGCCUUCCGGCUCCAUUCUCUCCCCAAAAUGCUUUCCCCGCACUGACUUAGUUCUGUCUUAGAGACAGAUGUAUGAUGUAUAUAUGGAACCAAUGCCUAAGCAACCACUCAAAUUUUUGUAUUUAAAUAGAGUUGUGGCCAAAACUAUGCCCAAAACCUUAAACUUAAUUUCUGUGUGCUGUGUGAGUUAUUGGGGGGUGUCCUGGGGACCUCGACAGGCAAUAGAUGCACCACUUUAGAAAUACAUCCCAGGUGAGAGGGAUACUUACGGGUUCACCUUUAGAACCAGUAUCUCCUUUGUUUCCGGGAGCGCCAGGUUCACCCUAAACGUAUUAGGAAGAGACAGAAAACAACAUGAUCACAAAUCUCAUUCAGCACAAGGAAGACAACAAUGAAUCCUUUAUUUUUAUUAUUUUACAAGAGAACAAGGGGAUGUGGCUUCUCUGAGAUGGCUUUCGACAUGCAUCUGUUAUCAAGACUUGGAACUGCAGAGUUGGAAGGGACCCUGCGGAUCCUCUAGUCCAAACCCCUGCAAUUUAGUUGCCCCGUACAGGGAUUGAACCUGCAGCCUUGGAGUUAUCAGCACCAUGAUGCAACUGGCUGAGCUAUCCAGGCUGACAAUCCACAGAGGAAGAGAUUUGAUAUGAUGCUGAUGCAUGUGAUUUGUGGGCUUGGGCCCUGAAUGGAAGGGACAGUUUAUAGUAGGCAUGGCCAAACCUGGCCCUCCAGAUGGUUUGGGACUACAAUUCCCAUCAUCCCUGACCACUGGUCCUGUAAGCUAGGGAUGGUGGGAGUUGUAGUCCCAAAACAUCUGGUGGGCCAGGUCUGGCCAUGCCUGGUUUAUAGGAAGCAGAGCCAAGGAAAAGGAACUUGAGAAUGUAAUCGUGAACAUGCAACUCGAUGUAAACUUCCAUCAUAUGAGAGUUAACAAUAGGGUUUGGUUGAAGGAGCGUCCUGCUAAAUAAUCUUGGAUACUGCUACCCUUAAAAAAGAGAUUUGCAUACCACUGCCUACCAUUUUGAUACCUUUAUCCCACCUGCUACACAAAUCUAGCUGCUCUGGAAUACUGUCCUUUUCAGAAUUUUAAAACCCUGUGUAUUAUACGAUGCUAAAGCAGGGGAGCUGGUAUUACUGGUAGUAUUAGAGGUCAUGGGUUGAAAAAGACCAAGAAACAGUGCUUUAGCUAUUAAACAAGCACAGUUGGAGAGGGUAUGCAGAGAGUGGCAUUUUCUGAAUUAAUUAUGUUAUGGCAGGCUCCUCCUUGCUUUCUCCCAGUUAGGCUAAAGAAGUCUGGGUUUCCUGGAUAACCCACCCAGACGCCUCUAUUUCCAAUUUCUUCAAAGAUCUCUGAAGGCAGGCACAACUUAAAUGACGAGCCAAAAGGUGAGGAGCGAUCAGGUGAGACUUACGCUGUUACCCUUGGGACCAGGAGCGCCGCUGGGACCCUGAGGUCCAGCUGGGCCACGAGGACCGGGGAAGCCGGGAGCGCCAGAAGUUCCGGGA
Molecule: long non-coding RNA, 4179 nt
Organism: Zootoca vivipara (common lizard)
Lineage: Eukaryota; Metazoa; Chordata; Lepidosauria; Squamata; Lacertidae
Source: RefSeq, a predicted model, not a curated record